GCAAACUUGGUCAUUUAGAGGAAGUAAAAGUCGUAACAAGGUUUCCGUAGGUGAACCUGCGGAAGGAUCAUUAACAAAUUGUCCACCAUAAUGGAUAAUUUUUAUCCAUAUCCACCUUGUGUGAAUCAGUGAAGCGUCCGUUGGCAGGCUAAAGGCACUCGAUUUUGGAGCGUUUUGUGUAGCGAGCAUCCAAUGCUCGCUCGGCCUGCCAAUUUUAUUUAACUAAAACUUGUCUAAAUGCCUCUGACUGAAAUUAUAUAUAUUAACAAAAUAAAAUACAACUUUCAACAACGGAUCUCUUGGCUCUCGCAUCGAUGAAGAACGCAGC
Molecule: unclassified non-coding RNA, 328 nt
Filed under: uncultured fungus
Lineage: Eukaryota; Fungi
Description: partial contains small subunit ribosomal RNA, internal transcribed spacer 1, and 5.8S ribosomal RNA
Rfam family: Eukaryotic small subunit ribosomal RNA (bases 1-73)
Source: RNAcentral